AGGAACGCCACAAAGCAGCAGUACGUAAAACUUUGGAACGAAGUCAGCGCUUGGAGCAGCGUCAGAAAAGGUGGUCCUGGGGAGGAGGAUCCAUUUCUUCAGACUUGGAUAGUAAAAAUGGAACAACCCCAUCCCAUCCUGUAGAUUUAGUUCAGAAAAAAUCACCUUCCACAGAACCUCAUGCUGCAAGCGAAGCUGAAGCUGCUGGGCUUGGCGUUUUGUGUGUGGGUAGUUAAGAGUGUAGGACUCCUGAAUGAUGGACAGGCUAAGAAUGUGUGUUUAUGCAUCUAGAAGAUUUCUUUGUGAGAGUC
Long non-coding RNA from Protopterus annectens (West African lungfish), 311 nucleotides. RefSeq lists it as uncharacterized. The transcript is spliced from 3 exons. The record is from RefSeq and is a predicted model, not a curated record. NCBI's taxonomy places the organism in Eukaryota, Metazoa, Chordata, Ceratodontiformes, Protopteridae.